AAUGCAUAGGAAAUUGCCUUGAAGUGGGGGAUAGCCCGGAGAAAUCCGGAUUAAUACCGCAUAUGCUCUACGGAGCAAAGUGGGCCUCUGAUUUAAGCUCAUGCUUUGAGAUAUGCCUAUGUCGGAUUAGCUUGUUGGCGGGGUAAAAGCCUACCAAGGCGACGAUCCGUAGCUGGUUUGAGAGGAGGAUCAGCCACACUGGGACUGAGACACGGCCCAG
RNAcentral lists this ribosomal RNA (220 nucleotides) under uncultured bacterium. RNAcentral describes it as "partial 16S ribosomal RNA". It matches the Rfam family "Bacterial small subunit ribosomal RNA", at positions 112 to 334 of the family's 1533-position model. The record is from RNAcentral.